Molecule: ribosomal RNA, 1066 nt
Filed under: Chlamydia trachomatis
Lineage: Bacteria; Pseudomonadati; Chlamydiota; Chlamydiia; Chlamydiales; Chlamydiaceae
Description: partial 23S ribosomal RNA
Rfam family: Bacterial large subunit ribosomal RNA
Source: RNAcentral
UAGGAGCCCCGGGGGGCCGCAGAGAAAUGGCCCAGGCGACUGUUUAGCAAAAACACAGCACUAUGCAAACCUCUAAGGGGAAGUAUAUGGUGUGACGCCUGCCCAAUGCCAAAAGGUUAAAGGGAUAUGUCAGCUGCAAAGCGAAGCAUUGAACCUAAGCCCUGGUGAAUGGCCGCCGUAACUAUAACGGUGCUAAGGUAGCGAAAUUCCUUGUCGGGUAAGUUCCGACCUGCACGAAUGGUGUAACGAUCUGGGCACUGUCUCAACGAAAGACUCGGUGAAAUUGUAGUAGCAGUGAAGAUGCUGUUUACCCGCGAAAGGACGAAAAGACCCCGUGAACCUUUACUGUACUUUGGUAUUGAUUUUUGGUUUGUUAUGUGUAGGAUAGCCAGGAGACUAAGAACACUCUUCUUCAGGAGAGUGGGAGUCAACGUUGAAAUACUGGUCUUAACAAGCUGGGAAUCUAACAUUAUUCCAUGAAUCUGGAAGAUGGACAUUGCCAGACGGGCAGUUUUACUGGGGCGGUAUCCUCCUAAAAAGUAACGGAGGAGCCCAAAGCUUAUUUCAUCGUGGUUGGCAAUCACGAGUAGAGCGUAAAGGUAUAAGAUAGGUUGACUGCAAGACCAACAAGUCGAGCAGAGACGAAAGUCGGGCUUAGUGAUCCGGCGGUGGAAAGUGGAAUCGCCGUCGCUUAACGGAUAAAAGGUACUCCGGGGAUAACAGGCUGAUCGCCACCAAGAGUUCAUAUCGACGUGGCGGUUUGGCACCUCGAUGUCGGCUCAUCGCAUCCUGGGGCUGGAGAAGGUCCCAAGGGUUUGGCUGUUCGCCAAUUAAAGCGGUACGCGAGCUGGGUUCAAAACGUCGUGAGACAGUUUGGUCUCUAUCCUUCGUGGGCGCAGGAUACUUGAGAGGAGCUGUUCCUAGUACGAGAGGACCGGAAUGGACGAACCAAUGGUGUGUCGGUUGUUUUGCCAAGGGCAUAGCCGAGUAGCUACGUUCGGAAAGGAUAAGCAUUGAAAGCAUCUAAAUGCCAAGCCUCCCUCAAGAUAAGGUAUCCCAAUGAGAC